Molecule: ribosomal RNA, 272 nt
Filed under: uncultured bacterium
Lineage: Bacteria
Description: partial 16S ribosomal RNA
Rfam family: Bacterial small subunit ribosomal RNA
Source: RNAcentral
AAGUUUGAUGGCGACCGGCGCACGGUGAGUAACACGUAUCCAACCUGCCGAUGACUCGGGGAUAGCCUUUCGAAAGAAAGAUUAAUACCCGAUGGCAUAGUUCUUCCGCAUGGUAGAACUAUUAAAGAAUUUCGGUCAUCGAUGGGGAUGCGUUCCUUUAGGUUGUUGGCGGGGUAACGGCCCACCAAGCCUUCGAUGGAUAGGGGUUCUGAGAGGAAGGUCCCCCACAUUGGAACUGAGACACGGUCCAAACUCCUACGGGAGGCAGCAUG